Molecule: ribosomal RNA, 253 nt
Filed under: uncultured bacterium
Lineage: Bacteria
Description: partial 16S ribosomal RNA
Rfam family: Bacterial small subunit ribosomal RNA
Source: RNAcentral
UACAGAGGGGGCAAGCGUUGUUCGGAAUUACUGGGCGUAAAGGGCGCGUAGGCGGCCUUCUAAGUCGAACGUGAAAUCCCCGGGCUCAACCCGGGAACUGCGUCCGAUACUGGAAGGCUUGAAUCCGGGAGAGGGACGUGGAAUUCCAGGUGUAGCGGUGAAAUGCGUAGAUAUCUGGAGGAACACCGGUGGCGAAGGCGGCAUCGUGGACCAAUAUUGACGCUGAGGAGCGAAAGCCAGGGGAGCAAACGGG